This 378-nucleotide ribosomal RNA is filed under the name uncultured organism. Its description in RNAcentral is "bacterial SSU rRNA". It matches the Rfam family "Bacterial small subunit ribosomal RNA", at positions 526 to 896 of the family's 1533-position model. The record is from RNAcentral.
CAGAGGGUGCAAGCGUUGUUCGGAAUUAUUGGGCGUAAAGGGCGCGUAGGCGGUUCGGCAAGUCUCUAGUGAAAUCUCUGGGCUCAACUCAGAGUCUGCUGGGGAAACUGCCGGGCUUGAGUGUGGGAGAGGAGAGUGGAAUUCCCGGUGUAGCGGUGAAAUGACGUAGAUAUCGGGAGGAACACCUGUGGCGAAAGCGGCUCUCUGGACCACAACUGACGCUGAGGCGCGAAAGCUAGGGGGAGCAAACAGGGAUUAGAUACCCUGGUAGUCCUAGCCCUAAACGAUGAUUGCUUGGUGUGGUGGGUACCCAAUCCCGACUGUCGCCGAAGCUAACGCGAUAAGCAAUCCGCCUGGGGAGGUACGGUCGCAAGGCUG